Small nuclear RNA from Aplysia californica (California sea hare), 105 nucleotides. Lineage: Eukaryota; Metazoa; Mollusca; Gastropoda; Aplysiida; Aplysiidae. The record is from RefSeq and is a predicted model, not a curated record.
AAUGCUGUUCACGCAGUACAAACUAACAGAUGAAAGAUAUGGACAGGAUUAGCAUGGCUCAUGCGCAAGGAUGACCCCCAAAUUCGUGAAGCACUCCAUAUUUGA